CCUACGGGAGGCAGCAGUAGGGAAUCUUCCACAAUGGACGAAAGUCUGAUGGAGCAACGCCGCGUGUGUGAUGAAGGGUUUCGGCUCGUAAAACACUGUUGUAAGAGAAGAAUGACAUUGAGAGUAACUGUUCAGUGUGUGACGGUAUCUUACCAAAAAGGAACGGCUAACUACGUGACAGCAGCCGCGGUAAUACGUAUGUUUCAAGCGUAAUCCAGAUUUAUUGGGCGUAGAGCGAGCGCAGACGGUUGUUGAAGUCCGAAGUGAAAGCCCACAGCUUAACUGUGGAAGUGCUUGUGAAACUGGAUAACUUGGAUGCAGUAGAGGAGAGUGGAACUCCAUGUAUAGCGGUGAAAUGCGUAGAUAUAUGGAAGAACACCAGUGGCGAAGGCGGCUCUCUGGACUGUAACUGACGUUGAGGCUCGAAAGUGUGGGUAGCAAACAGGAUUAGAUACCCGUGUAGUC
This 465-nucleotide ribosomal RNA is filed under the name uncultured Weissella sp. Its description in RNAcentral is "bacterial SSU rRNA". It matches the Rfam family "Bacterial small subunit ribosomal RNA", at positions 338 to 795 of the family's 1533-position model. Lineage: Bacteria; Bacillati; Bacillota; Bacilli; Lactobacillales; Lactobacillaceae. The record is from RNAcentral.